GUAGCAGGCGUUUAACUGACCCUUGCGAGAUUGGGCCGCCUGUGGUCGAAUGGGCAAUAAAUUUUAUCAGCUGCAUCAUAAUGAGAUAAGGAUAUAGCCUACAGUAUAUCAUAUCAUAUUACAGUAAAACAUAUUGACAUGCAUGGCAUUGCCAUUGGGACCGGGUGUAUCACUGUAUUUGUUUUAAUUAACACAGUUAAUCGAAAUCCACAACGAGUAUAGUCGAAAUUAUCUUCUUUAUCUUCGUGGUAACAUAAGCCAUACUAAAAAUCUCGCUAGUUGGGCAAUAUGAAAAAAAUAAAAAAUGCACAAAUUUGAGGUGUUAGAAAAACACGAGCCGUCCCCCCUGGAGAAAGACAACCUACCCCCCGGAUUGUUUACACCAUACCUGUCUCGAUUGAAUUUUCCCUAACCACAAUAGUUGCAAAUUGAAUUCUUCACUUUGCACUAAAAAUCCAAAACCAACCUGGAAACUUAUUAACGAAUUAAACUCUCGUAAUGCCUCUGGCCACAAAACUAUAUCCAAUAUCAAAGUGGGUGAAGAAACUAUAUAUACACCCAAGCAAAUAGCGGAGACAUUUAAUUCUCAUUUUGCUAGUGUGGGUGAAAAUUUAGCAUCCGAUAUACCACUCUCUACCGUAGAACCUGACGUAUACGUUGUGCCUGCUGAAACCACAUUUUCAAUGAAAUCCCUCACUGUACCGUAUAUGCAGUUUACAAAAAAUUAAAAGCAAUUAACGAAAGGAAAGCAGCUGGUCUUGAUAAAAUACCUUGCAAACUUUUAAGAAUUUCAGCUGAAAUAGUUGCCCCUUCUUUAACUCAAAUAUUUAAUAAGACUAUAAGUACAAGCACCUUUCCUACAGACUGGAAGCUAGCGAGAGUUACU
Molecule: non-coding RNA, 886 nt
Organism: Paramuricea clavata
Lineage: Eukaryota; Metazoa; Cnidaria; Anthozoa; Malacalcyonacea; Plexauridae
Source: the annotation of a GenBank genome assembly